UGUAGAGUUUGAUCCUGGCUCAGAUUGAACGCUGGCGGCAUGCCUUACACAUGCAAGUCGAACG
Molecule: ribosomal RNA, 64 nt
Filed under: Chlorarachnion reptans
Lineage: Eukaryota; Cercozoa; Chlorarachniophyceae
Description: partial Bacterial small subunit ribosomal RNA
Source: RNAcentral